This 497-nucleotide ribosomal RNA is filed under the name uncultured bacterium. Its description in RNAcentral is "partial 16S ribosomal RNA". It matches the Rfam family "Bacterial small subunit ribosomal RNA", at positions 28 to 507 of the family's 1533-position model. The record is from RNAcentral.
GAUGAACGCUGGCGGCGUGCCUAAUACAUGCAAGUCGAGCGAACAGACGAGGAGCUUGCUCCUUUGACGUUAGCGGCGGACGGGUGAGUAACACGUGGAUAACCUACCUAUAAGACUGGGAUAACUUCGGGAAACCGGAGCUAAUACCGGAUAAUAUGUUGAACCGCAUGGUUCAACAGUGAAAGACGGUUUUGCUGUCACUUAUAGAUGGAUCCGCGCCGCAUUAGCUAGUUGGUAAGGUAACGGCUUACCAAGGCAACGAUGCGUAGCCGACCUGAGAGGGUGAGCGGCCACACUGGAACUGAGACACGGUCCAGACUCCUACGGGAGGCAGCAGUAGGGAAUCUUCCGCAAAGGGCGAAAGCCUGACGGAGCAACGCCGCGUGAGUGAAGAAGGUCUUCGGAUCGUAAAACUCUGUUAUUAGGGAAGAACAAAUGUGUAAGUAACUAUGCACGUCUUGACGGUACCUAAUCAGAAAGCCACGGCUAACUACGUG